Molecule: ribosomal RNA, 253 nt
Filed under: uncultured bacterium
Lineage: Bacteria
Description: partial 16S ribosomal RNA
Rfam family: Bacterial small subunit ribosomal RNA
Source: RNAcentral
UACGAAGGGGGCUAGCGUUGCUCGGAAUUACUGGGCGUAAAGCGCACGUAGGCGGACUCUUAAGUCGGUGGUGAAAUCCUGGAGCUCAACUCCAGAACUGCCUUCGAUACUGAGAGUCUUGAGUCCGGGAGAGGUGAGUGGAACUGCGAGUGUAGAGGUGAAAUUCGUAGAUAUUCGCAAGAACACCAGUGGCGAAGGCGGCUCACUGGCCCGGUACUGACGCUGAGGUGCGAAAGCGUGGGGAGCAAACAGG